RNAcentral lists this ribosomal RNA (580 nucleotides) under uncultured bacterium. Its description in RNAcentral is "bacterial SSU rRNA". It matches the Rfam family "Bacterial small subunit ribosomal RNA", at positions 102 to 668 of the family's 1533-position model. The record is from RNAcentral.
ACGGGUGAGUAACACGUGGGCAACCUGCCCUGCAGAUUGGGAUAACUCCGGGAAACCGGGGCUAAUACCGAAUAACAUUGGAAACCUCAUGGUUUCCUUUUGAAAGGCGGCUUCGGCUGUCACUGCAGGAUGGGCCCGCGGCGCAUUAGCUAGUUGGUGGGGUAACGGCUCACCAAGGCCACGAUGCGUAGCCGACCUGAGAGGGUGAUCGGCCACACUGGGACUGAGACACGGCCCAGACUCCUACGGGAGGCAGCAGUAGGGAAUCUUCCGCAAUGGACGAAAGUCUGACGGAGCAACGCCGCGUGGGUGAAGAAGGUUUUCGGAUCGUAAAACUCUGUUGUCAGGGAAGAACAAGUACGGGAGUAACUGCCCGUGCCUUGACGGUACCUGGCCAGAAAGCCACGGCUAACUACGUGCCAGCAGCCGCGGUAAUACGUAGGUGGCAAGCGUUGUCCGGAAUUAUUGGGCGUAAAGCGCGCGCAGGCGGCCUUUUAAGUCUGAUGUGAAAGCCCCCGGCUCAACCGGGGAGGGUCAUUGGAAACUGGAAGGCUUGAGUGCAGAAGAGAAGAGCGGAAUU